AUGACAUCUCAAGGAUGGGUAGCACAAAGGACUGUACACAUUAUACAGAGUGACCCUACUAUUGGAUGCAAAGAGCUGUUGGGGCAUUUGGAAGAUACAUAUGGCACAACCAUUGAGUAUCAUACAGUGUGGAAAGGCAAAGAUAUAGCACAGAAAGAGAUAUAUGGUAGCAUGAGGCAGAGUUUUCAAUAUUUGUUUAACUUCAAAGCAGAAGUUGAGAAGAGAUCACCAGGCAGCAUUGUAGAGGUGGAUAUGAAGAUGGUUCACGGUAUUGUUCGCUUUAACCGAUUCUUUAUGGCUCUUAAACCUUGCAUUGAUGGCUUUAAAGCUGGUUGUAGACCAUAUCUCAGUAUAGAUUCAACUACACUCACCGGUAAAUGGAGAGGUCACUUAGCAGCUUGUACAACAUUAGAUGGGCAUAAUUGGAUGUAUCCUCUAGCAUUUGCAUUCAUUGAUGGUGAAACCGAUGAAAAUUGGACAUGGUUCAUGUCACAACUAAAUAGGGCAUUAAGUCCUGUUUCCCCUCUAGCUAUAUGCACAGAUGCAUGUAAAGGUUUAGAGAAUGCAGUCAAAAAAAUAUUCCCUCAUGCAGAUCAAAGAGAGUGUUUUAGGCAUCUCAUGGCUAACUUCUCUAAAAAGUUCCAAGGAGAUGUGUUUGGCAGAAUGUGGCCAGCUGCUAGGGCAUAUAGGCCACAAGUUUUUAACUACCACAUGAAUAAAAUCCUAGCAGAAGCACCUAAUGUGCAUGAGUAUCUCUCAAGGUACCAUAGCUUAAAAUGGAUGAGAUGCAUGUUUGACCCCUCAAUUAAAUGUGAUUACAUCAAUAAUAACCUUGCUGAGUCUUUUAAUGGUUGGAUUAAAGAUUACAAAGAGUUGCCACCUGAUGAGCUAGCUGACACUCUUAGAGAGCUAGUCAUGAAACUUCGUGAGAAAAGGAGAAAGAUUGGAAUGAAACUGAAAGGAAAAAUUAUUCCAGCCAUCAUCCAACAGAUUCAUAAUAGGACAAGGGGACUUAAACAUUUGAAAGUUGGGAAAUCUGGAGUUGCAAGUUGUGAGGUGAGGGAUACAAGUAAAUACAACUUGCGACAUGUUGUGAAAACUGCCCAAAGCGAGUGCACGUGCUUGGAGUGGCAGCACACAUGGAAGCCUUGUGAGCAUGCACUUGCUUUCUUGCUGGAUAGAAGGAACCCCAAAUGGGAGGAUUACGUGCAUGACUAUUUCUCUCUAGAGAAGUUUAGGGCAGCAUAUGCUGGAGAGGUUGAGCCAUUGACAGAUAGGUCUCAAUGGCCACAUGUACAAUUUCCAUUUGACAUGGAGGCUCCAUUAGACAAGAAAAGAGGUGUUGGAAGGCCUAGAAAAAACAGGUACAAGAGCUUCCUUGAAGGUGGAGAUGGUGGUCCUAAAAAGAAGAAAGAACCAAAACAGCUAGGCAGCAAGAAUAGAUGCAAAAGAUGCCACAUUUUAGGCCACAGGCAGUCUACAUGUCCACUGAAUGGACCAAGGCCAAGGAAAAGAAAGAAGAGAGCACCAAGAUAUCCAGUUGAUGAUGAUGCCUCAGCACCGGAACCUGAAGUGGCAGCCCAACAACCUGAAGUUGUUGUCACUCCCAAUAGGCACAUGAUCACCAUGCCACAAAUUCUUCAAGGCAGUCCCAAUCCAGUGACAAGAAGCAUGUUGGCUUCAGCAUUGGCUGAUGAGGCAACACAUGCAGCACCACAACUUGAUGUGGCUGUCACUCCAACCAGGCACAUGCUCACUAUGCCACAAAGUCUGCAAGGAAGUCCCAAUCCAGUCACAAGAAGGAUGUUGGCCAUGGCAUUGGCUGAUGAGGCGUCGCAACAACCUACCCCAAUCGUGGAGGACACCAUGAUAGCAUAUGACAUGGCCUCAAGCUCGAAAGCUAGAAAGUUGACCCCGAAGAGAAGGAAGUACUAG
This 1935-nucleotide ribosomal RNA is filed under the name Triticum aestivum (bread wheat). Its description in RNAcentral is "partial small subunit ribosomal RNA". The record is from RNAcentral. Lineage: Eukaryota; Viridiplantae; Streptophyta; Magnoliopsida; Poales; Poaceae.